Molecule: long non-coding RNA, 352 nt
Organism: Lolium perenne
Lineage: Eukaryota; Viridiplantae; Streptophyta; Magnoliopsida; Poales; Poaceae
Source: RefSeq, a predicted model, not a curated record
UCUCUCUACAAUCUCAAGUUGUGCAUCCAAGAUUUUGUCCCUCGGCAGUCUAGGAAAUGGUUGAUGCCGACUCUAACAUUGGGGAGCCUGAUGCCUGAUGGUGUGGCUGAUAUGGCCAACUGAACUUCUAACAGCUGGUGGCUGACCAAUAGUUAUUUGGAAAUUGAACUAUUACUACUAUGUUUCUAUGUUAACAUAUAUAUGCCAAAGGUUGUGCAUUUAUGGUUGAGAACAUCAAGAUUUUUCCGUGGAAGAGCAAGCAGUUUAUAGGUUCUUGAUUAUACAGCCAGCACCAUGUAGUAACACAUGUCAUAUUAUUGCUGAUUUACAUAUUGUUUCACCUAUCAAGAUA